GGGGAGAUACCCAAGCGGUCAACGGGGGCAGACUGUAAAUCUGCUGGCGUACGCCUUCGCAGGUUCGAAUCCUGCUCUCCCCACCA
This 86-nucleotide transfer RNA is filed under the name Gemmatimonadaceae bacterium. Its description in RNAcentral is "tRNA-Tyr". It matches the Rfam family "tRNA". From Rfam's summary of the family: Transfer RNA (tRNA) molecules are approximately 80 nucleotides in length. Their secondary structure includes four short double-helical elements and three loops (D, anti-codon, and T loops). RNAcentral also lists the same sequence under 1 other name. The record is from RNAcentral. Lineage: Bacteria; Pseudomonadati; Gemmatimonadota; Gemmatimonadia; Gemmatimonadales; Gemmatimonadaceae.